CGUAGGCACAGUCGUAGGUUAUAGUGAUGGCCGAUACCGAGUACUCAGUAUUCGAUACCAGCGAUACCACAAACAGCGGUAUCGGUAUCGAUUACUGACGUGGUAUCGUUCGAUACUUGCACUCUUUUUUAAUUAAGUGACUUGUUAAAUUUCAUUUCUUGGUUGAAUAAGACUUUAUUACAAAAAAAAGUGUGAAUUUGGAAAAAAAGUGGUUAAUUGACAAAAAUUUUAGAAAAUUAUGGAAAAUUUUUUGUUUUUAGAAAAAAAAAUUUAGAUAAAUGGGGAAAAUUGCUGAUGUCCGGAAAAAUUUGGAUAUGUCCGAAAAAAAUUUUUAACCCCUAAAAUGGUACACUGACCGAAAUUUUUUUGGC
Non-coding RNA from Paramuricea clavata, 371 nucleotides. The record is from the annotation of a GenBank genome assembly. NCBI's taxonomy places the organism in Eukaryota, Metazoa, Cnidaria, Anthozoa, Malacalcyonacea, Plexauridae.